UACGGGGGGGCAAGCGUUGUUCGGAAUUACUGGGCGUAAAGGGCUCGUAGGCGGCCAACUAAGUCAGACGUGAAAUCCCCAGGCUCAACCUGGGAACUGCGUCUGAUACUGGAUGGCUUGAAUUCGGGAGAGGGAUGCAGAAUUCCAGGUGUAGCGGUGAAAUGCGUAGAUAUCUGGAGGAAUACCGGUGGCGAAGGCGGCAUCCUGGACCGACAUUGACGCUGAUGAGCGAAAGCUAGGGGAGCAAACGGG
Molecule: ribosomal RNA, 252 nt
Filed under: uncultured bacterium
Lineage: Bacteria
Description: partial 16S ribosomal RNA
Rfam family: Bacterial small subunit ribosomal RNA
Source: RNAcentral